GACAGAGGUCCCGAGCGUUAGGCGGAAUCACUGGGCUUAAAGCGUGUGUAGGCGGAUUUGUAAGUACCUUGUGAAAUCCCACGGCUCAACCGUGGAACUGCUUGGUAUACUGCUUAUCUUGGGCCACUUAGGGGUUACCGGAACAAACGGUGGAGCGGUGAAAUGCGUAGAUAUCGUUUGGAACGCCAAUGGUGAAAACAGGUAACUGGGAGUGUGCCGACGCUGAGACACGAAAGCCAGGGGAGCGAACGGG
This 253-nucleotide ribosomal RNA is filed under the name uncultured bacterium. Its description in RNAcentral is "partial 16S ribosomal RNA". It matches the Rfam family "Bacterial small subunit ribosomal RNA", at positions 524 to 776 of the family's 1533-position model. The record is from RNAcentral.